UUUCUGUGAUGACCUCCUUUUUGAGCCAUCGUGUCUGGGCCACUGAUAACUCUGAUGGAACUGAGGAUCUGAGCAG
Molecule: small nucleolar RNA, 76 nt
Organism: Laticauda laticaudata (blue-ringed sea krait)
Lineage: Eukaryota; Metazoa; Chordata; Lepidosauria; Squamata; Elapidae
Source: Ensembl